RNAcentral lists this ribosomal RNA (474 nucleotides) under uncultured organism. RNAcentral's name for it is "partial 16S ribosomal RNA". It matches the Rfam family "Bacterial small subunit ribosomal RNA", at positions 331 to 797 of the family's 1533-position model. The record is from RNAcentral.
GUACACUCCUACGGGAGGCAGCAGUGGGGAAUUUUGGACAAUGGGCGAAAGCCUGAUCCAGCCAUGCCGCGUGCAGGAUGAAGGCCUUCGGGUUGUAAACUGCUUUUGUACGGAACGAAACGGCCUUUUCUAAUAAAGAGGGCUAAUGACGGUACCGUAAGAAUAAGCACCGGCUAACUACGUGCCAGCAGCCGCGGUAAUACGUAGGGUGCAAGCGUUAAUCGGAAUUACUGGGCGUAAAGCGUGCGCAGGCGGUUAUGUAAGACAGUUGUGAAAUCCCCGGGCUCAACCUGGGAACUGCAUCUGUGACUGCAUAGCUAGAGUACGGUAGAGGGGGAUGGAAUUCCGCGUGUAGCAGUGAAAUGCGUAGAUAUGCGGAGGAACACCGAUGGCGAAGGCAAUCCCCUGGACCUGUACUGACGCUCAUGCACGAAAGCGUGGGGAGCAAACAGGAUUAGAUACCCUUGUAGUCCC